This 492-nucleotide ribosomal RNA is filed under the name uncultured bacterium. RNAcentral describes it as "bacterial SSU rRNA". It matches the Rfam family "Bacterial small subunit ribosomal RNA", at positions 8 to 525 of the family's 1533-position model. The record is from RNAcentral.
AGAGUUUGAUCCUGGCUCAGGACGAACGCUUGCGACGUGCCUAAGAAAUGCAAGUCGAGCGGGGAGCAAUCCCAGCGGCGAACGGUCGCGUAACACGUAAGCAACCUGCCCCCAAGACCGGGACAACAUUCCGAAAGGAGUGCUAAUACCGGAUGUGCCCGCCGGGUGACAUCUCCUGGCGAGUAAAUCAAGCAAUUGGCUUAGGGAGGGGCUUGCGGCCUAUCAGCUAGAUGGUGGGGUAACGGCCUACCAUGGCGACGACGGGUAGCUGGUCUGAGAGGAUGGUCAGCCGGAUUGGGACUGAGAUACGGCCCAGACUCCUACGGGGGGCAGCAAUUAGGAAUCUUGCACAAUGGGCGAAAGCCUGAUGCAGCGACGUCGCGUGGGGGAGGAAGGCUUUCGGGUUGUAAACCCCUUUUACUCAGGAAGAAACAAAUGACGGUACUGGGUGAAUAAGCCCCGGCUAACCACGUGCCAGCAGCCGCGGUAAUA